UAGGGAGUAUUAGAAAUGGCCGAAAGUCUGAUCUAGCAACACCGCGUGUGCGAAGAAGGCCUUCGGGUCGUAAAGCACUUUUUGGAAGGAAUAGGAAGGAAUGUACUUCCAGAAUAAGUCUCGGCUAACUACGUGCCAGCAGCCGCGGUAACACGUAGGAGGCAAACGUUAUCCGGAUUUACUGGGCGUAAAGCGCGUGUAGGUGGUACUGUAAGUAGGGCGUGAAAGCUCCUGGCUCAACUGGGAGAGGCCGUUCUAAACUACAGAACUAGAGGAUGGUAGAGGGAGGUGGAAUUCCAGGUGUAGCGGUGGAAUGUGCAGGUAUCUGGAGGAACACCGGUGGCGAAGGCGGCCUCCUGGACCAUUCCUGACACUCAGACGCGAAAGCUAGGGUAGCAAACGG
This 403-nucleotide ribosomal RNA is filed under the name uncultured bacterium. RNAcentral's name for it is "bacterial SSU rRNA". It matches the Rfam family "Bacterial small subunit ribosomal RNA", at positions 355 to 775 of the family's 1533-position model. The record is from RNAcentral.